AAAUCUAAAUAUUACAGUUGCAAUAUGUUUUAGUUACCAUAGCAUCUCAAUAAAAGGAAUAAGCAUUUUUUGUUAGAGGAACUCAAAGAAAGUUUUAUAAAGUAAAUGACAUAUAAACUGGAUAUUUUAAGGAAGGGUAGGAGUUGUUAGACAAAGGUGGGAGUUAAGGAAAAGUGAAAGGUGAUCGCAAAUGUAGGCAUUGUGCUUUCAAGAGGCAUCAGCUGCAGUAGUAUAGAGGGGAU
Molecule: long non-coding RNA, 242 nt
Filed under: Pan troglodytes (chimpanzee)
Lineage: Eukaryota; Metazoa; Chordata; Mammalia; Primates; Hominidae
Description: long non-coding RNA NONPTRT018307
Source: RNAcentral